This 253-nucleotide ribosomal RNA is filed under the name uncultured bacterium. Its description in RNAcentral is "partial 16S ribosomal RNA". It matches the Rfam family "Bacterial small subunit ribosomal RNA", at positions 524 to 776 of the family's 1533-position model. The record is from RNAcentral.
UACGGGGGGGGUAAGCGUUGUUCGGAAUUACUGGGCGUAAAGGGCUCGUAGGCGGCCAACUAAGUCAUACGUGAAACCCCUCAGCUUAACUGGGGAACUGCGUGUGAUACUGGAUGGCUUGGAUUUGGGAGAGGGAUGCGGAAUUCCAGGUGUAGCGGUGAAAUGCGUAGAUAUCUGGAGGAACACCGGUGGCGAAGGCGGCAUCCUGGACCGACACUGACGCUGAGGAGCGAAAGCCAGGGGAGCAAACGGG